AUUGAACGCUGGCGGCAGGCCUAACACAUGCAAGUCGAGCGGAUGAGAAGAGCUUGCUCUUCGAUUCAGUGGCGGACGGGUGAGUAAUGCCUGGGAAUCUGCCUGGUAGUGGGGGACAACGUUUCGAAAGGAACGCUAAUACCGCAUACGUCCUACGGGAGAAAGCAGGGGACCUUCGGGCCUUGCGCUAUCAGAUGAGCCUAGGUCGGAUUAGCUAGUUGGUGAGGUAAUAGCUCACCAAGGCGACGAUCCGUAACUGGUCUGAGAGGAUGAUCAGUCACACUGGAAAUGAGACACGGUCCAGACUGCUACGGGAGGCAGCAGUGGGGAAUAUUGGACAAUGGGCGAAAGCCUGCUCCAGCCAUGCCGCGUGUGUGAAGAAGGUCUUCGGAUUGUAAAGCACUUUAAGUUGGGAGGAAGGGCAGUAAGUUAAUACCUUGCUGUUUUGACGUUACCGACAGAAUAAGCACCGGCUAACUCUGUGCCAGCCGCCGCGGUAA
RNAcentral lists this ribosomal RNA (500 nucleotides) under uncultured bacterium. RNAcentral's name for it is "partial 16S ribosomal RNA". It matches the Rfam family "Bacterial small subunit ribosomal RNA", at positions 30 to 523 of the family's 1533-position model. The record is from RNAcentral.